AGAGUUUGAUCAUGGCUCAGAUUGAACGCUGGCGGCAUGCCUUACACAUGCAAGUCGAACGGUAACAGGUCUUCGGAUGCUGACGAGUGGCGAACGGGUGAGUAAUACAUCGGAACGUGCCCGAUCGUGGGGGAUAACGCAGCGAAAGCUGUGCUAAUACCGCAUACGAUCUACGGAUGAAAGCGGGGGAUCGCAAGACCUCGCGCGGACGGAGCGGCCGAUGGCAGAUUAGGUAGUUGGUGGGAUAAAAGCUUACCAAGCCGACGAUCUGUAGCUGGUCUGAGAGGACGACCAGCCACACUGGGACUGAGACACGGCCCAGACUCCUACGGGAGGCAGCAGUGGGGAAUUUUGGACAAUGGGCGCAAGCCUGAUCCAGCCAUGCCGCGUGCAGGAUGAAGGCCUUCGGGUUGUAAACUGCUUUUGUACGGAACGAAAAAGCUCUCUCUAAUACAGGGGGUGAAUGACGGUACCGUAAGAAUAAGCACCGGCUAACUACGUGCCAGCAGCCGCGGUAAUACGUAGGGUGCAAGCGUUAAUCGGAAUUACUGGGCGUAAAGCGUGCGCAGGCGGUUAUGUAAGACAGAGGUGAAAUCCCCGGGCUCAACCUGGGAACUGCCUUUGUGACUGCAUAGCUGGAGUGCGGCAGAGGGGGAUGGAAUUCCGCGUGUAGCAGUGAAAUGCGUAGAUAUGCGGAGGA
This 700-nucleotide ribosomal RNA is filed under the name uncultured bacterium. RNAcentral's name for it is "bacterial SSU rRNA". It matches the Rfam family "Bacterial small subunit ribosomal RNA", at positions 8 to 705 of the family's 1533-position model. The record is from RNAcentral.